This is a long non-coding RNA of Sycon ciliatum, 1346 nucleotides long. RefSeq lists it as uncharacterized. The record is from RefSeq and is a predicted model, not a curated record. NCBI's taxonomy places the organism in Eukaryota, Metazoa, Porifera, Calcarea, Leucosolenida, Sycettidae. The transcript is spliced from 2 exons.
AACAGUCGAAAAAACUUCCGAAAAACGGAAUGCAGAACCUCUCUAGCUCAUGUCAUUUAAACUAACUUCUUCGUGCGAUAGCGGUGGUACCAUUUAUCCACUCUAACUUUUUGGCGAUGGCUUGCGAAUAGAGACAGCCAAAAGCACGAUUUCUGCUCGCUAGCUGUGCUCCGCAUUUCAUUAGAACUUUGUUGAAAAGCAACACACAAGAAGGUCUGAACAGUGCCGGUUGCAGCUUCAGCCUUCCCUCCCUGGCUUUCGGCUUGCUGCAGCGACAGAGACUGCGGCGCCGUGUUCACGUUGAUUGACCAGUGAGCGCUGCACACAAGCUAGCUACAGAGAUGGCGGGGAUCAACGAGGAGAGUUUCCUUGGACUACACAUGGGCUGUCCAGCUUUAAAUUGUGACAACAGAUCCAACAAAGACGUGGUCCGCAACCGUUGGGCCAGCAAAGAAUGCAAUGGGAUGAUGUGGAUUAGUCAGAAAGGCAACUUGCGCUGCGUGCACCAUCACGCAACGCGUCCCUGUGUCUACGGCCCAGUGAAUAGCUUCAAAUUCGACUGUGGCCUGCGCGGCCAGGGUUCGCCUCAUAGCCUCCAGGAGCCCUUCGUUGCGACUGAUCCACAAAGUAUUUGUCACGCAGUAGCUGUUGCGCUUGCAAUGGGUUACUUUGGUUCUGGGGUGAUGCCGUGGAGCACGGAACUGAUGGGUAAUCUGGUUGAACAAUUUCCUGAUGAGCCGUCUGCAUCUGUACGGCAAAACGUACGUCGUAUGACACUGGUACCUGUUGCCGAUUAAUAGUCUAUCACAUGUUCCAUUCCACAUGUACAUGUAGUAUAGUACGAAGAGAUAGUGCCGUCCGGUCUGUCUUGCUUCGUGAUCGAGUAACUUCCCCUCUUUUGCUUAUCUCUGAUAACAUGAGCCUCCCAAGUUGGGUGGUCGUUGUUUCACGUUUCCGAAGUGAGCUGUGGCCGUCCUGUGCCGUGGUCCUUCGUCCUUCAUCACCAUCUUGUCAUAGCUAACAUUCUUAGUUCGCUGUGAUAUUUAGCUUGUUUUCGUCUAGAGUGCACUCACCUUCCCCUUUCUUACGUUACUUCAUAACUUAGAACCUUUCAAGUUGGAAGGCUGCUAGUUUGCGCAUUCUAGACGCGAUGCAGCUAAGCAUCAUGUUGUUGAAUGUCAUAAUCUCAUCAGUCAGUUUUGUGCGAAUUGUUGCACAUUUUUGACUCAACAGUAUUCUGCUUAUAACUGUUAGUGUUGGAGAAAAAGGAUAACUUGUUCCCGUAGCUAUGCAGAAGACGUUACUUCAGUAACGACUGGCGCUAGCCAGGGUCCACACAGCUUUAA